GACGAACGCUUGCGGCGUGCUUAACACAUGCAAGUCGAACGGAAAGGCCCUGCUUUUGUGGGGUGCUCGAGUGGCGAACGGGUGAGUAACACGUGAGUAACCUGCCCUUGACUUUGGGAUAACUUCAGGAAACUGGGGCUAAUACCGGAUAGGAGCUCCUGCUGCAUGGUGGGGGUUGGAAAGUUUCGGCGGUUGGGGAUGGACUCGCGGCUUAUCAGCUUGUUGGUGGGGUAGUGGCUUACCAAGGCUUUGACGGGUAGCCGGCCUGAGAGGGUGACCGGCCACAUUGGGACUGAGAUACGGCCCAGACUCCUACGGGAGGCAGCAGUGGGGAAUAUUGCACAAUGGGCGGAAGCCUGAUGCAGCAACGCCGCGUGCGGGAUGACGGCCUUCGGGUUGUAAACCGCUUUCGCCUGUGACGAAGCGUGAGUGACGGUAAUGGGUAAAGAAGCACCGGCUAACUACGUGCCAGCAGCCGCGGUGAUACGUAGGGUGCGAGCGUUGUCCGGAUUUAUUGGGCGUAAAGGGCUCGUAGGUGGUUGAUCGCGUCGGAAGUGUAAUCUUGGGGCUUAACCCUGAGCGUGCUUUCGAUACGGGUUGACUUGAGGAAGGUAGGGGAGAAUGGAAUUCCUGGUGGAGCGGUGGAAUGCGCAGAUAUCAGGAGGAACACCAGUGGCGAAGGCGGUUCUCUGGGCCUUUCCUGACGCUGAGGAGCGAAAGCGUGGGGAGCGAACAGGCUUAGAUACCCUGGUAGUCCACGCUGUAAACGGUGGGUACUAGGUGUGGGGUCCAUUCCACGGGUUCCGUGCCGUAGCUAACGCUUUAAGUACCCCGCCUGGGGAGUACGGCCGCAAGGCUAAAACUCAAAGGAAUUGACGGGGCCCCGCACAAGCGGCGGAGCAUGCGGAUUAAUUCGAUGCAACGCGUAGAACCUUACCUGGGUUUGACAUGGAUCGGGAGUGCUCAGAGAUGGGUGUGCCUCUUUUGGGGUCGGUUCACAGGUGGUGCAUGGCUGUCGUCAGCUCGUGUCGUGAGAUGUUGGGUUAAGUCCCGCAACGAGCGCAACCCUUGUUCACUGUUGCCAGCACGUUAUGGUGGGGACUCAGUGGAGACCGCCGGGGUCAACUCGGAGGAAGGUGGGGAUGACGUCAAGUCACCAUGCCCCUUAUGUCCAGGGCUUCACGCAUGCUACAAUGGCUGGUACAGAGAGUGGCGAGCCUGUGAGGGUGAGCGAAUCUCGGAAAGCCGGUCUCAGUUCGGAUUGGGGUCUGCAACUCGACCUCAUGAAGUCGGAGUCGCUAGUAAUCGCAGAUCAGCAACGCUGCGGUGAAUACGUUCCCGGGGCU
This 1346-nucleotide ribosomal RNA is filed under the name uncultured bacterium. RNAcentral's name for it is "partial 16S ribosomal RNA". It matches the Rfam family "Bacterial small subunit ribosomal RNA", at positions 28 to 1381 of the family's 1533-position model. The record is from RNAcentral.